ACGUUGGCGGCGUUGCUUACACAUGCAAGUCGAACGGUGAAGCCCUUCGGGGUGGAUCAGUGGCGAACGGGUGAGUACACGUGAGCAACCUGCCCUUGGCACUGGGAUAACCCCGGGAAACCGGGGCUAAUACCGGAUACGACCCGAGCGGGCAUCCGCCCGGGUGGAAAGAAUUUCGGCCAAGGAUGGGCUCGCGGCCUAUCAGCUUGUUGGUGGGGUAACGGCCCACCAAGGCGACGACGGGUAGCCGGCCUGAGAGGGCGACCGGCCACACUGGGACUGAGACACGGCCCAGACUCCUACGGAGGCAGCAGUGGGGAAUAUUGCGCAAUGGGCGAAAGCCUGACGCAGCAACGCCGCGUGAGGGAUGAAGGCCUUCGGGUUGUAAACCUCUUUCAGCAGGGAAGAAGCGAAAGUGACGGUACCUGCAGAAGAAGCACCGGCUAACUACGUGCCAGCAGCCGCGGUAAUACGUAGGGUGCAAGCGUUGUCCGGAAUUAUUGGGCGUAAAGAGCUCGUAGGCGGUUUGUCGCGUCUGCUGUGAAAAUUCGGGGCUCAACCCCGGACCUGCAGUGGGUACGGGCAGACUAGAGUGCGGCAGAGGAGACUGGAAUUCCUGGUGUAGCGGUGGAAUGCGCAGAUAUCAGGAGGAACACCAGUGGCGAAGGCGGGUCUCUGGGCCGCAACUGACGCUGAGGAGCGAAAGCAUGGGGAGCGAACAGGAUUAGAUACCCUGGUAGUCCAUGCCGUAAACGUUGGGCGCUAGGUGUGGGGCUCUUUCCACGAGUUCCGCGCCGCAGCUAACGCAUUAAGCGCCCCGCCUGGGGAGUACGGCCGCAAGGCUAAAACUCAAAGGAAUUGACGGGGGCCCGCACAAGCGGCGGAGCAUGCGGAUUAAUUCGAUGCAACGCGAAGAACCUUACCAAGGCUUGACAUACACCGGAAACUGUUGGAGACAGCAGCCCCGCAAGGUCGGUGUACAGGUGGUGCAUGGUUGUCGUCAGCUCGUGUCGUGAGAUGUUGGGUUAAGUCCCGCAACGAGCGCAACCCUCGUCCUAUGUUGCCAGCGGUUCGGCCGGGGACUCAUAGGAGACUGCCGGGGUCAACUCGGAGGAAGGUGGGGAUGAAGUCAAAUCAUCAUGCCCCUUAUGUCUUGGGCUUCACGCAUGCUACAAUGGCCGGUACAGAGGGCUGCGAUACCGCAAGGUGGAGCGAAUCCCAAAAAGCCGGUCUCAGUUCGGAUCGGGGUCUGCAACUCGAC
This 1261-nucleotide ribosomal RNA is filed under the name uncultured bacterium. Its description in RNAcentral is "bacterial SSU rRNA". It matches the Rfam family "Bacterial small subunit ribosomal RNA", at positions 33 to 1316 of the family's 1533-position model. The record is from RNAcentral.